Molecule: long non-coding RNA, 203 nt
Organism: Aricia agestis (brown argus)
Lineage: Eukaryota; Metazoa; Arthropoda; Insecta; Lepidoptera; Lycaenidae
Exons: 3
Source: RefSeq, a predicted model, not a curated record
GUUUGCUAAAAUAUAAAGACCCUGAGCCAUGUAAGGCCAUGUUCCUUUGAAGGCCAACUAUCAAAAAGUCGCAGUUAUCGUCAUGUAAAGAUAUUUUCCUUCUACUACACACAGCCAUCAAACUUAUGGCCACAAACGCGGCGGCGAGUCGAUCGCUCCGCUAUUGUGGCAGUGAGAUCUCACUGUUUGUAGACUUUGGUUGU